CAACCUCAACUCAUAUGGGACUACCCCCUGAAUUUAAGCAUAUUAAUUAGGGGAGGAAAAGAAACUAACAAGGAUUUUCUUAGUAGCGGCGAGCGAAAAGAAAACAGUUCAGCACUAAGUCACUUUGUCUAUAUGGCAAAUGUGAGAUGCAGUGUAUGGAGCGUCAAUAUUCUAGUAUGAGAAAUUAAUGAUUUAAGUCCUUCUUAAAUGAGGCCAUUUACCCAUAGAGGGUGCCAGGCCCGUAUAACGUUAAUGAUUACUAGAUGAUGUUUCCAAAGAGUCGUGUUGCUUGAUAGUGCAGCACUAAGUGGGUGGUAAACUCCAUCUAAAACUAAAUAUAACCAUGAGACCGAUAGUAAACAAGUACCGUGAGGGAAAGUUGAAAAGAACUCUGAAUAGAGAGUUAAACAGUACGUGAAACUGCUUAGAGGUUAAGCCCGAUGAACCUGAAUAUCCGUUAUGGAAAAUUCAUCAUUAAAAUUGUAAUAUUUAAAUAAUAUUAUUAAGAAUAAUGUGCAUUUUUUCCAUAUAAGGACAUUGUAAUCUAUUAGCAUAUCCCAAAUUUAUCAUAAAAUAUAACUUAUAGUUUAUUCCAAUUAAAUUGCUUGCAUUUUAACACAGAAUAAAUGUUAUUAAUUUGAUAAAGUGCUGAUAGAUUUAUAUUAUUACAGAGCGUUAAUUUUUCGGAAUUAUAUAAUGGCAUAAUUAUCAUUGAUUUUUGUGUUUAUUAUAUGCUCUUGUAUGAUUAACAAUGCGAAAGAUUCAGGAUACCUUCGGGACCCGUCUUGAAACACGGACCAAGGAGUCUAACAUAUGUGCAAGUUAUUGGGAUGUAAACCUAAUAGCGUAAUUAACUUGACUAAUAAUGGGAUUAGUUUUUUAGCUAUUUAUAGCUAAUUAACACAAUCCCGGGGCGUUCUAUAUAGUUAUGUAUAAUGUAUAUUUAUAUUAUUUAUGCCUCUAACUGGAACGUACCUUGAGCAUAUAUGCUGUGACCCGAAAGAUGGUGAACUAUACUUGAUCAGGUUGAAGUCAGGGGAAACCCUGAUGGAAGACCGAAACAGUUCUGACGUGCAAAUCGAUUGUCAGAAUUGAGUAUAGGGGCGAAAGACCAAUCGAACCAUCUAGUAGCUGGUUCCUUCCGAAGUUUCCCUCAGGAUAGCUGGUGCAUUUUAAUAUUAUAUAAAAUAAUCUUAUCUGGUAAAGCGAAUGAUUAGAGGCCUUAGGGUCGAAACGAUCUUAACCUAUUCUCAAACUUUAAAUGGGUAAGAACCUUAACUUUCUUGAUAUGAAGUUCAAGGUUAUGAUAUAAUGUGCCCAGUGGGCCACUUUUGGUAAGCAGAACUGGCGCUGUGGGAUGAACCAAACGUAAUGUUACGGUGCCCAAAUUAACAACUCAUGCAGAUACCAUGAAAGGCGUUGGUUGCUUAAAACAGCAGGACGGUGAUCAUGGAAGUCGAAAUCCGCUAAGGAGUGUGUAACAACUCACCUGCCGAAGCAACUAGCCCUUAAAAUGGAUGGCGCUUAAGUUGUAUACCUAUACAUUACCGCUAAAGUAGAUGAUUUAUAUUACUUGUGAUAUAAAUUUUGAAACUUUAGUGAGUAGGAAGGUACAAUGGUAUGCGUAGAAGUGUUUGGCGUAAGCCUGCAUGGAGCUGCCAUUGGUACAGAUCUUGGUGGUAGUAGCAAAUAAUCGAAUGAGACCUUGGAGGACUGAAGUGGAGAAGGGUUUCGUGUGAACAGUGGUUGAUCACGAGUUAGUCGGUCCUAAGUUCAAGGCGAAAGCCGAAAAUUUUCAAGUAAAACAAAAAUGCCUAACUAUAUAAACAAAGCGAAUAUAAUACACUUGAAUAAUUUUGAACGAAAGGGAAUACGGUUCCAAUUCCGUAACCUGUUGAGUAUCCGUUUGUUAUUAAAUAUGGGCCUCGUGCUCAUCCUGGCAACAGGAACGACCAUAAAGAAGCCGUCGAGAGAUAUCGGAAGAGUUUUCUUUUCUGUUUUAUAGCCGUACUACCAUGGAAGUCUUUCGCAGAGAGAUAUGGUAGAUGGGCUAGAAGAGCAUGACAUAUACUGUUGUGUCGAUAUUUUCUCCUCGGACCUUGAAAAUUUAUGGUGGGGACACGCAAACUUCUCAACAGGCCGUACCAAUAUCCGCAGCUGGUCUCCAAGGUGAAGAGUCUCUAGUCGAUAGAAUAAUGUAGGUAAGGGAAGUCGGCAAAUUAGAUCCGUAACUUCGGGAUAAGGAUUGGCUCUGAAGAUUGAGAUAGUCGGGCUUGAUUGAUAACAUUAUGUGCUAAAUAGAGUUUCUUAGCAUUGUUACUUGUUCCCUCGGGCUUAAGACCAAACUUUUUUACACUUUAACGGAUUUGGUGGAAAAAAUGAACAAUUCAUUUUGCCCCAUGGUUAAGCUAAAAGGAAAAAUGGCGGCAAAAAGGGUGAAAUGUAACAAGUAUCUUCGAUAGGCGUAGCCAAAUGCCUCGUCAUCUAAUUAGUGACGCGCAUGAAUGGAUUAACGAGAUUCCUACUGUCCCUAUCUACUAUCUAGCGAAACCACAGCCAAGGGAACGGGCUUGGAAUAAUUAGCGGGGAAAGAAGACCCUUUUGAGCUUGACUCUAAUCUGGCAGUGUAAGGAGACAUAAGAGGUGUAGAAUAAGUGGGAGAUAUUAGACCUCGGUUUGGUAUCGUCAAUGAAAUACCACUACUCUUAUUGUUUCCUUACUUACUUGAUUAAAUGGAACGUGUAUCAUUUCCUAGCCAUUAUACGGAUAUAUUUAUUAUAUCUUAUGGUAUUGGGUUUUGAUGCAAGCUUCUUGAUCAAAGUAUCACGAGUUUGUUAUAUAAUCGCAAACAAAUUCUUUAAUAAAACGAUGCAUUUAUGUAUUUUUGAUUUGAAAAUUUGGUAUAACUCCAAUUACUCAGGUAUGAUCCAAUUCAAGGACAUUGCCAGGUAGGGAGUUUGACUGGGGCGGUACAUCUCUCAAAUAAUAACGGAGGUGUCCCAAGGCCAGCUCAGUGCGGACAGAAACCACACAUAGAGCAAAAGGGCAAAUGCUGACUUGAUCUCGGUGUUCAGUACACACAGGGACAGCAAAAGCUCGGCCUAUCGAUCCUUUUGGUUUAAAGAGUUUUUAACAAGAGGUGUCAGAAAAGUUACCAUAGGGAUAACUGGCUUGUGGCGGCCAAGCGUUCAUAGCGACGUCGCUUUUUGAUCCUUCGAUGUCGGCUCUUCCUAUCAUUGUGAAGCAAAAUUCACCAAGCGUUGGAUUGUUCACCCAUGCAAGGGAACGUGAGCUGGGUUUAGACCGUCGUGAGACAGGUUAGUUUUACCCUACUAAUGACAAAACGUUGUUGCGACAGCAUUCCUGCGUAGUACGAGAGGAACCGCAGGUACGGACCAAUGGCACAAUACUUGUUCGAGCGAACAGUGGUAUGACGCUACGUCCGUUGGAUUAUGCCUGAACGCCUCUAAGGUCGUAUCCGUGCUGGACUGCAAUGAUAAAUAAGGGGCAAUUUGCAUUGUAUGGCUUCUAAACCAUUUAAAGUUUAUAAUUUAUUUUAUAAACGACAAUGGAUGUGAUGCCAAUGUAAUUUGUAAAUAGUAAAUUAGGAGGAUCUUCGAUCACCUGAUAGCCGCACUAGUUACAUAUAAAAGCAUUAUUAAUACAAUGACAAAGGCCUAGAAUCAAUUGUAAACGACUUUUGGUAACAGGCAAGGUGUUGUAAGUGGUUGAGCAGCUGGCCAUUACUGCGAUCCACUGAAGCUUAUCCUUUGCUUGAUGUCAUUGA
Molecule: ribosomal RNA, 3787 nt
Organism: Drosophila mauritiana
Lineage: Eukaryota; Metazoa; Arthropoda; Insecta; Diptera; Drosophilidae
Source: RefSeq, a predicted model, not a curated record